RNAcentral lists this ribosomal RNA (275 nucleotides) under uncultured bacterium. Its description in RNAcentral is "partial 16S ribosomal RNA". The record is from RNAcentral.
CUGCUGCCUUCCGUAGGAGUCUGGGCCGUGUCUCAGUCCCAGUGUGGGGGGCCUUCCUCUCAGAACCCCUACGCAUCGUCGCCACGGUGGGCCGUCACCCCGCCGUCUAGCUAAUGCGCCGCAUGCCCAUCCCGCCACCGGAUCGCUCCUUUGGCCCGACCCGGAGGAUGCCCUCCCGGUGGCGUCACGGGGUAUUAGGCCGGCGUUUCCGCGGGUUAUCCCCCUGUGGGCGGCCAGGUUGCAUACGUGUUACUCACCCGUGCGCCGGUCGCCGG